Long non-coding RNA from Acinonyx jubatus (cheetah), 1075 nucleotides. RefSeq lists it as uncharacterized. Lineage: Eukaryota; Metazoa; Chordata; Mammalia; Carnivora; Felidae. The transcript has 5 exons. The record is from RefSeq and is a predicted model, not a curated record.
ACUGUCCAGCCUGUGGUCCUAGUUUGGGGUUUUUGAAGGACCAGCCCAAGAUUCUGGGGCCCAGGGAGCUCCAAGAUUUGAGACCCUAAUGGUAGGUUACAACUCAAAAAUGAUUUUGUCCCUGACAUUCGUGUCCUGAUUCCUAGGAACCAAGCUCUUGUAAAGAGGAAUCCCACCUGUAAGAUCGCCAGUCUGAAUGGCGAUCCCGGACCAGGGCUGCAGAGCAGAGGAGGGCGAGGCAGAGAAAGAGCAGACUGUAGAUUUGCAGGGCUAGUAGCAGUAUGUGAUCCUUGUGUUGUGCAAGCCACCCUUCAACCUUGACAACCUGAGUUCUGAGCCAGGUUUUAGGAGAGAUCCUGAGGGGCCCUGAUGCCACAUGCGGCAUUGACAGAUGUGUUGCAUCCUCUCCUCUGACUUCGCAGACUCAGAAGGUAGUGCAGGAAAGAACUUCUGGGUUACCUGUUUAUGCCUACAAUGAAAGAUGAAAAACACUGAGCCAGAGAGGCUCCACCUUUGUAGUUCCCUACAUGUUUCCUAGUUCCAUAGAAAAUGAAUAGAUCUCAGAGCAUGCGCAAGUAGGGGAGGGAAAGAGAGGAUCCAAAGUAGGCUGGAAAGCGCGGGACUUGAUCCCAUGAACUGUGAGAUGUUGACCUGAGCUGAAAUCAAGAGUUUGAUGCCUGACCCACUGAGCCACCCAGGCUUCAUGCCCAGCAUGGAACCCAAGGUGGGGCCCAAAUUCACUACCCUGAGAUCACAACCCUAAGAUCAUGACCUCAGCCAAUAUCAAGAGUUGGAUGCCCAACGGACUGAGCCACCCUGGUGUCCUUCUUUUAAUUUGUUCCUGGACUCUGUUGAUAUAUUUUUUAAGACUUAUUCUUCAUGAAAAAUUCAUUAGAAUUAUGGAAUUGUAAUUUUCCUUUGUGAUGCAAUAUUUGUCAUUUUUUGUAUAAAUAAAAUAAUUACAUCAUUAAAAUAAUCAGAAAGUAUUCCUUUUUCUUUAUGCUGUAGAACAGUUUAUUUUUUAAAUUAAAAAAUUUUUGCCUUUGUGUGCAGUCUUUAUUCCAAUAUGUUUUAA